GGUGAACGCUGGCGGUAGGCCUAACACAUGCAAGUCGAACGGCAGCACAGUAAGAUCUUGCUCUUACGGGUGGCGAGUGGCGGACGGGUGAGGAAUACAUCGGAAUCUACUUUUUCGUGGGGGAUAACGUAGGGAAACUUACGCUAAUACCGCAUACGACCUACGGGUGAAAGCAGGGGAUCUUCGGACCUUUCGCGAUUGAAUGAGCCGAUGUCGGAUUAGCUAGUUGGCGGGGUAAAGGCCCACCAAGGCGACGAUCCGUAGCUGGUCUGAGAGGAUGAUCAGCCACACUGGAACUGAGACACGGUCCAGACUCCUACGGGAGGCAGCAGUGGGGAAUAUUCGGCAAUGGGCGCAAGCCUGAUGCAGCCAUACCGCGUGAGUGAAGAAGGCCUUCGGGUCGUAAAGCCCUUUUGUUGGGAAAGAAAAGCAGCAGGUGAAACCACCGCUGUUCUGACGGUACCCAAAGAAAAAGCACCGGCUAACUUCGUG
Molecule: ribosomal RNA, 492 nt
Filed under: uncultured bacterium
Lineage: Bacteria
Description: partial 16S ribosomal RNA
Rfam family: Bacterial small subunit ribosomal RNA
Source: RNAcentral